Long non-coding RNA from Jaculus jaculus (lesser Egyptian jerboa), 153 nucleotides. RefSeq lists it as uncharacterized. The record is from RefSeq and is a predicted model, not a curated record. The transcript is spliced from 3 exons. Lineage: Eukaryota; Metazoa; Chordata; Mammalia; Rodentia; Dipodidae.
CAGAACCAAGCCCAUUAAAUUAGCUUACUUCUGGCUGACCCAGACUCCCCAAGACUUCCAUCUUCACAAUAAUCGUCUGUGACUCUACGUGACCUUUCUUGUGUGGAGAAUCAGAUGACAAAGAAUUGAUGAGACCACUGGUCACCAAUCAGC